CAGUAGCCGCGGUAAUACAGAGGGUGCAAGCGUUAAUCGGAAUUACUGGGCGUAAAGCGCGCGUAGGUGGUUCGCCAAGUUGGAUGUGAAAUCCCCGGGCUCAACCUGGGAACUGCAUCCAAAACUGGCGAGCUAGAGUAUGGUAGAGGGUGGUGGAAUUUCCUGUGUAGCGGUGAAAUGCGUAGAUAUAGGAAGGAACACCAGUGGCGAAGGCGACCACCUGGACUGAUACUGACACUGAGGUGCGAAAGCGUGGGGAGCAAACAGGAUUAGAUACCCCUGUAGUCCCUGUCUCUUAUAA
Molecule: ribosomal RNA, 301 nt
Filed under: uncultured bacterium
Lineage: Bacteria
Description: partial 16S ribosomal RNA
Rfam family: Bacterial small subunit ribosomal RNA
Source: RNAcentral